GAACGCUAGCGGCUUAGGCUUAACACAUGCAAGUCGAGGGGCAGCACGGGUAGCAAUACCUGGUGGCGACCGGCGCAAGGGUGCGUAACGCGUGAGCAACAUGCCCUAUACAGGGGGAUAAUCCAGGGAAACUUGGUCUAAUAUCCCAUAGCAUUUAGAGGAGGCAUCUUCACUAAAUUAAAGCUUCGGUGGUAUAGGAUUGGCUCGCGUGACAUUAGCUAGAUGGUGAGGUAACGGCCCACCAUGGCUAUGAUGUCUAGGGGUUCUGAGAGGAAGACCCCCCACACUGGGACUGAGACACGGCCCAGACUCCUAUGGGAGGCAGCAGUGAGGAAUAUUGGACAAUGGAUGGAAAUCUGAUCCAGCCAUGCCGCGUGCAGGAAGACGGCCCUAUGGGUUGUAAACUGCUUUUAUAUGGGAGCAAUAAGGUUUACGAGUAGACCGAUGAGAGUACCAUAUGAAUAAGCAUCGGCUAACUCCGUG
Molecule: ribosomal RNA, 483 nt
Filed under: uncultured bacterium
Lineage: Bacteria
Description: bacterial SSU rRNA
Rfam family: Bacterial small subunit ribosomal RNA
Source: RNAcentral